GGGGGUUCCGGCCCGGGGGCUGCGGCCGCCGGGUCUAAAGUUAGCUACCUGG
Molecule: ribosomal RNA, 52 nt
Filed under: Histoplasma capsulatum
Lineage: Eukaryota; Fungi; Ascomycota; Eurotiomycetes; Onygenales; Ajellomycetaceae
Description: partial 18S rRNA
Source: RNAcentral